AACGUUAGCCGACAACUUGUUAAAUAUAUUUUUUGAUUUUGAUUUGACUCGAACUGUAACUCCAGAGCCCUAGAGAUAGUAAGAGUUGCGACACUCCCAUAGGGUGCCGUUGUACGCUUUCUUUCAGUCUACGUCCGGGUUGUGGAGGCUUGUUUAGUUCCAAGCACCGCUUCGACAGUGAUAGCCACCGUUCAUUUGCACUGCAGGUUGUUGAGUAUAUGUGGAGUAUCCCGAGAGCCCUCACUGAAGACACGAAGACCCUCAUUGUUUCUCCCAUUGUCAAUAAAACAUACUAUUUCAUUCAUCAAA
Long non-coding RNA from Acanthochromis polyacanthus (spiny chromis), 309 nucleotides. RefSeq lists it as uncharacterized. The record is from RefSeq and is a predicted model, not a curated record. Lineage: Eukaryota; Metazoa; Chordata; Actinopteri; Pomacentridae. The transcript is spliced from 2 exons.